RNAcentral lists this ribosomal RNA (586 nucleotides) under uncultured bacterium. RNAcentral's name for it is "bacterial SSU rRNA". It matches the Rfam family "Bacterial small subunit ribosomal RNA", at positions 338 to 916 of the family's 1533-position model. The record is from RNAcentral.
CCUACGGGAGGCAGCAGUGGGGAAUUUUGGACAAUGGGCGAAAGCCUGAUCCAGCAAUGCCGCGUGAGUGAAGAAGGCCUUCGGGUUGUAAAGCUCUUUUGUCAGGGAAGAAACGGUGAAAGCUAAUAUCUUUUGCUAAUGACGGUACCUGAAGAAUAAGCACCGGCUAACUACGUGCCAGCAGCCGCGGUAAUACGUAGGGUGCAAGCGUUAAUCGGAAUUACUGGGCGUAAAGCGUGCGCAGGCGGUUUUGUAAGUCUGAUGUGAAAUCCCCGGGCUCAACCUGGGAAUUGCAUUGGAGACUGCAAGGCUAGAAUCUGGCAGAGGGGGGUAGAAUUCCACGUGUAGCAGUGAAAUGCGUAGAUAUGUGGAGGAACACCGAUGGCGAAGGCAGCCCCCUGGGUCAAGAUUGACGCUCAUGCACGAAAGCGUGGGGAGCAAACAGGAUUAGAUACCCUGGUAGUCCACGCCCUAAACGAUGUCUACUAGUUGUCGGGUCUUAAUUGACUUGGUAACGCAGCUAACGCGUGAAGUAGACCGCCUGGGGAGUACGGUCGCAAGAUUAAAACCUCAAAGGAAUUGACGG